Long non-coding RNA from Oreochromis niloticus (Nile tilapia), 928 nucleotides. RefSeq lists it as uncharacterized. Lineage: Eukaryota; Metazoa; Chordata; Actinopteri; Cichliformes; Cichlidae. The record is from RefSeq and is a predicted model, not a curated record. The transcript is spliced from 2 exons.
AAAUACACACCUACGCAUUCACACCAGACAUGAUGUGUACAGCUGUGAUCAGUGUGGUAAACAGUUUACUACAAACAGAGAGUUACGACGUCACAUGUUUACCCACACUGAGGAACGACCUUAUAAAUGUGACCUGUGUGAGAAGACUUUUAAAUCUCCACGUUACCUGAAAGCACACCAACAGAUCCACACCAGAAAGACUCUACAAGUGCAGUUACUGUGAGAAGCAGAGCGACACAAAUGGAUCAAGUUCUCAACCCUGUCAUCGCUGUGGGAAAGACUUUUGUUGUGACCUUUGUGGAAAGACUUUAAGUCAUUGAAGGACUCUGAAAAUACAUCAACGUAGACACACUGGAGACAAAAUGAACUACUGUAAAGAAUGCGGGAGAGGCUUCACCACUUCAAAGGACUUCAAACAAUAUGAACUCCUUCACAGUGGCGUUAAAAAGCAUGUCUGCGAUCAGUGUGGGUCAUCCUUCAUCAGUGCACGUCAGCUUGAAAAGCAUAAACGAGUCCACACAUGAGAGAAACCAUACAAGUGCAGACACUGUGACAAAACCUUUUCACAAUCAUGUGAUCAUACUAAGCAUGAACGCAGACACAUGAAAGAGAACUUCAUCUGUGAAAGAGUUUGAGUAAUCUCAGUUCAUACUCCACUCAGAAACGAUUCCAUGUUACAAAUAAACUGUUACGUCUUGAUUCCUGCUUUUACGUUAAUCUUGUAAACAGUACAUUUGCAUAACGACUGAAACCGGCCCAAUGAAUGAACAAUGGGCUGUGAGGUCAAUUUCUUCAUCAUUAAUAUGCAAAUUCUUAUGAGCAUUGAUCAACAACCACUGGUCAAUGGCCAUGAGUACCAUUCACAGAGUAAAAAUUUGCAUAAUGAUUAUGAAGUUUACUGUUACCAAUGUUCAAAAACAUUUACUAA